Molecule: ribosomal RNA, 467 nt
Filed under: uncultured bacterium
Lineage: Bacteria
Description: partial 16S ribosomal RNA
Rfam family: Bacterial small subunit ribosomal RNA
Source: RNAcentral
GACGAACGCUGGCGGCGUGCUUAACACAUGCAAGUCGAACGGAAAGGCCCUGCUUUUUUGGGGUGCUCGAGUUGCGAACGGGUGAGUAACACGUGAGUAACCUGCCCUUGACUUUGGGAUAACUUCAGGAAACUGGGGCUAAUACCGGAUAGGAGCUCCUGCUGCAUGGUGGGGGUUGGAAAGUUUCGGCGGUUGGGUAUGGUCUCGCGGCUUAUGAGCUUGUUGGUGGGGUAGUUGCUUACCAAGGCUUUGACGGGUAGCCGGCCGGAGAGGGUGACCGGCCAAAAGGGGAGUGAGAGACGGCACAGACUAAUACGGGAGGAAGGAGGGGGGAGUGAAGCACAAGGGACGGAAGAGUGAUGAAGGAACGCCGGGUGCGGGAAGAAGGCAUUCGGGAGGAAAGCCGAUUUCGCGUGUGAGGAAGGGUGAGGGCGGGAAAUGGGUAAAGAGGCACGGGUAAAUUAGGG